RNAcentral lists this ribosomal RNA (407 nucleotides) under uncultured bacterium. RNAcentral's name for it is "partial 16S ribosomal RNA". It matches the Rfam family "Bacterial small subunit ribosomal RNA", at positions 30 to 526 of the family's 1533-position model. The record is from RNAcentral.
AUUGAACGCUAGCGGGAUGCCUUACACAUGCAAGUCGAACGGAGUGGCGAACGGGUGAGUAAUGUAUCGGAACGUGCCCAGUAGCGGGGGAUAACUACGCGAAAGCGUAGCUAAUACCGCAUACUAUUGGCGCGGCCGAUAUCGGAUUAGCUAGUUGGUGGGGUAAAGGCAAACCAAGUCGACGAUCCGUAGCUGGUUUUAGAGGGCGACCAGCCACACGGGUACUGAGACACGGCCCAGACGCCUACGGGAGGCAGCAGUGGGGAAUUUUGGACAAGGGGGGAAACCCUGAUCCAGCCAUCCCGCGUGUGUGAUGAAGGCCUUCGGGUUGUAAAGCACUUUUGGCAGGAAAGCGGUACCUGCAGAAUAAGCACCGGCUAACUACGUGCCAGCAGCCGCGGUAAUUC